This is a non-coding RNA of Poecilia reticulata (guppy), 801 nucleotides long. The record is from RefSeq and is a predicted model, not a curated record. NCBI's taxonomy places the organism in Eukaryota, Metazoa, Chordata, Actinopteri, Cyprinodontiformes, Poeciliidae.
UCUUGUGAAAACAAUCGGAAAAGAAUCUGAUUUUACUCCAAUCUGCACCAAUGAAACAACGACUAUCAUCAUCCAGAUCGUGUGUAAGAUCAGAACAGAGAGAAGCAGCAAAGAGUGCAGUCUGCGGUAUAAGGAUGGAGGUGACUUUGUUCAUGAAUGUGACUCCAGGUUCUCACUGAAAACCAGGAAUCAAACUGUGUUUCUGCACCUGACCAGUUUAACACCAGCUGAUAGUGGGAACUACUCCUGUGAGUGUUCUAAUCUUGAUGGAACAUUUAUUUUCCAUCUCAACAUCACAGUUAAAGACCCACUUCCUAAUAAUAAUAAUUCAUCAGAUGAAGUUUGGAGCCAAUCUACAGGAGUGACUCUUCCUUCUGCUUUGACUGCUGCAGUUCUCUUAAUUUUCAUAGUUUCAGUUAUUCUGGGAUUUAUUCACAGAAGACGUCCACUUCGAGAGCAACCAGAAUCGUGCAGACAUAAUCUAGAGGAGGACUCGACUGAAAUYGAGCCGUACAGCUCCUACACUCAGAAGGAAAAUUCACUUUAUUCAACAGGCAUAAUGCACAGCUGUCAAAUUAAUUCUGACUAUGCAAAUAUUUUCACUUGAACGGACAAAUUUGGCUUCACAGCCUUUGUCUGUAGUUUAAUUUGUGUUUAUGGUCAUUUCCUUGUGGUGUAUUUAUGUUCAAUAUGUCUUGCCAUACUCAGUAAAUUUCCAUGUAUACAUUAAUGUUGGAAUGUUGUUGCCAUAUAAGCUAAUUCCUUUGUGUUUCGUUUCUUGUUGUGUUCUGUUAUUUGUGC